GAUGAACGCUGGCGGCGUGCUUAACACAUGCAAGUCGAACGAGGUCCAUGGAGCUUGCUCCGGAAGACCUAGUGGCGAACGGGUGCGUAACACGUGAGAAACCUGCCCCGAUCUCUGGAAUAACAGUUGGAAACGACUGCUAAUACCGGAUGUCAUCACACCGUCUCAUGGCGGAGUGAUGAAAGAUUUAUCGGAUCGGGAGGGUCUCGCGGCCUAUCAGCUAGUUGGAGAGGUAACGGCUCACCAAGGCAUCGACGGGUAGCUGGUCUGAGAGGAUGAUCAGCCACACUGGAACUGAGACACGGUCCAGACUCCUACGGGAGGCAGCAGUGGGGAAUCUUGCACAAUGGGCGAAAGCCUGAUGCAGCAACGCCGCGUGCGGGAAGAAGGCCCUAGGGUUGUAAACCGCUUUCAGUAGGGAAGAAAAUGACGGUACCUACAGAAGAAGGUGCGGCCAACUACG
RNAcentral lists this ribosomal RNA (463 nucleotides) under uncultured Acidimicrobiales bacterium. RNAcentral describes it as "bacterial SSU rRNA". It matches the Rfam family "Bacterial small subunit ribosomal RNA", at positions 28 to 505 of the family's 1533-position model. Lineage: Bacteria; Bacillati; Actinomycetota; Acidimicrobiia; Acidimicrobiales. The record is from RNAcentral.